CCCGUCUCUACUAUUAGCUGGGCAUGGUGGCAGCGCCUGUGGUCCCAGCUACUCGGGAGGCUGAGGCAGGAGAAUCGCUUGAAACCAAACAACGUUACAGGCUCUGUGAAGGCUUUCCUGCCCCAGAGUCAGCAGAGGAUUGUUCCCUUGUUCCACUCCCUGAACAUGUGGUACACAAACGGCUUUGCCACUGGGUGCCACUGGAUCAGGGGCCUCCCAUGACCCUCUCACUGGACCAAGGGACUCUCAUGAAC
RNAcentral lists this long non-coding RNA (254 nucleotides) under Homo sapiens (human). RNAcentral's name for it is "non-protein coding lnc-RAD23B-2:2". The record is from RNAcentral. Lineage: Eukaryota; Metazoa; Chordata; Mammalia; Primates; Hominidae.